CGCUGGCGGCGUGCCUAACACAUGCAAGUCGAGCGGAGAAUACAGAAAUGUUUACAUGGAUGUAUUCUUAGCGGCGGACGGGUGAGUAACACGUGGGUAACCUGCCUCAAAGAGGGGGAUAGCCUUCCGAAAGGAAGAUUAAUACCGCAUAAGCUUACAGCAUCGCAUGAUGCCGUAAGAAAAGGAGUAAUCCGCUUUGAGAUGGACCCGCGGCGCAUUAGCUAGUUGGUGAGGUAACGGCUCACCAAGGCCACGAUGCGUAGCCGACCUGAGAGGGUGAUCGGCCACAUUGGAACUGAGACACGGUCCAGACUCCUACGGGAGGCAGCAGUGGGGAAUAUUGCACAAUGGGCGAAAGCCUGAUGCAGCAACGCCGCGUGAGUGAUGAAGGCUUUCGAGUCGUAAAGCUCUUUGAUCAGGGAUGAUAAUGACAGUACCUGAAAAACAAGCCACGGCUAACUACGUGCCAGCAGCCGCGGUAAUACGUAGGUGGCGAGCGUUGUCCGGAAUUACUGGGCGUAAAGGAUGCGUAGGUGGAUACUUAAGUGGGAUGUGAAAUCCCCGGGCUCAACCCGGGAACUGCAUUCCAAACUGGGUACCUAGAGUGCAGGAGAGGAAAGCGGAAUUCCUAGUGUAGCGGUGAAAUGCGUAGAUAUUAGGAGGAACACCAGUGGCGAAGGCGGCUUUCUGGACUGUAACUGACACUGAGGCAUGAAAGCGUGGGUAGCAACAGGAUUAAAUACCCUGGUAGUCCCGCCGUAAACAAUGGUACUAGGUGUAGGA
Molecule: ribosomal RNA, 783 nt
Filed under: uncultured bacterium
Lineage: Bacteria
Description: bacterial SSU rRNA
Rfam family: Bacterial small subunit ribosomal RNA
Source: RNAcentral